GAAAAGAACAACAGGGAUUGCCCUAGUAACGGCGAGUGAAGCGGCAACAGCUCAAAUUUGAAAUCUGGCUUCGGCCCGAGUUGUAAUUUGCAGAGGAAGCUUUAGGCGCGGCACCUUCUGAGUCCCCUGGAACGGGGCGCCAUAGAGGGUGAGAGCCCCGUAUAGUUGGAUGCCUAGCCUGUGUAAAGCUCCUUCGACGAGUCGAGUAGUUUGGGAAUGCUGCUCAAAAUGGGAGGUAAAUUUCUUCUAAAGCUAAAUACCGGCCAGAGACCGAUAGCGCACAAGUAGAGUGAUCGAAAGAUGAAAAGCACUUUGAAAAGAGGGUUAAAUAGCACGUGAAAUUGUUGAAAGGGAAGCGCUUGUGACCAGACUUGCGCCGGGCGGAUCAUCCGGUGUUCUCACCGGUGCACUCCGCCCGGCUCAGGCCAGCAUCGGUUCUCGCGGGGGGAUAAAGGUCCUGGGAACGUAGCUCCUCCGGGAGUGUUAUAGCCCGGGGCGUAAUGCCCUCGCGGGGACCGAGGUUCGCGCAUCUGCAAGGAUGCUGGCGUAAUGGUCAUCAGCGACCCGUCUUGAAACACGGACCAAGGAGUCAAGGUUUUGCGCGAGUGUUUGGGUGUAAAACCCGCACGCGUAAUGAAAGUGAACGUAGGUGAGAGCUUCGGCGCAUCAUCGACCGAUCCUGAUGUUUUCGGAUGGAUUUGAGUAGGAGCGUUAAGCCUUGGACCCGAAAGAUGGUGAACUAUGCUUGGAUAGGGUGAAGCCAGAGGAAACUCUGGUGGAGGCUCGCAGCGGUUCUGACGUGCAAAUCGAUCGUCAAAUCUGAGCAUGGGGGCGAAAGACUAAUCGAACCAUCUAGUAGCUGGUUACCGCCGAAGUUUCCCUCAGGAUAGCAGUGUUGUCUUCAGUUUUAUGAGGUAAAGCGAAUGAUUAGGGACUCGGGGGCGCUUUUUAGCCUUCAUCCAUUCUCAAACUUUAAAUAUGUAAGAAGCCCUUGUUACUUAAUUGAACGUGGGCAUUCGA
Molecule: ribosomal RNA, 1020 nt
Filed under: Chaetomium globosum
Lineage: Eukaryota; Fungi; Ascomycota; Sordariomycetes; Sordariales; Chaetomiaceae
Description: eukaryotic LSU rRNA
Rfam family: Eukaryotic large subunit ribosomal RNA
Source: RNAcentral